Molecule: long non-coding RNA, 241 nt
Organism: Bradysia coprophila
Lineage: Eukaryota; Metazoa; Arthropoda; Insecta; Diptera; Sciaridae
Source: RefSeq, a predicted model, not a curated record
GAUGCGCCUUAAUCCAAUUAUGAACCCUAUUGUUGGUGGCCCCUCUAGGUCUGAUCCUUGAGGAAUGAGCGAAAUUUUCUUUUGUAAAAAGUGAAAUUUUGUCAAUUCCAUAAGUUGAGUAAAUAUCGUCCGAUCUGGAUGAAUAAUACAUAGUUAGAUGCCCCUUAGCUCAAACAUGAACCCUAUUGAUGGUGGCCCAUCUAGGUCCUAUCCCUGAGAAAUGAAUGACAAGUUUGGUAAA